RNAcentral lists this non-coding RNA (29 nucleotides) under Mus musculus (house mouse). The record is from RNAcentral. Lineage: Eukaryota; Metazoa; Chordata; Mammalia; Rodentia; Muridae.
UGGCUGUCUCAUUUGAUUGUCUGCAUCUU